GCCGCGUCGGCGGGCCGGGGCCCGUCCUCGUCGACGGCGGGGCCGAACGGCGCGUCCCGUUCGAGAUCGGGAUCGCGGCCC
RNAcentral lists this transfer RNA (81 nucleotides) under Nocardia rhizosphaerihabitans. RNAcentral describes it as "tRNA-Val". Lineage: Bacteria; Bacillati; Actinomycetota; Actinomycetes; Mycobacteriales; Nocardiaceae. The record is from RNAcentral.